UUUCGCAAUGCCCGAAAGGGUGGCGAAGCGACGCCGCGUGUGGGAAGAAGGCCUUCGGGUUGUAAACCACUGUCGGGAGUUAAGAAAUACAAGGAUAUUAAUAGUGUCUUUGUUUGACUAAGGCUCCGGAGGAAGCCACGGCUAACUCUGUGCCAGCAGCCGCGGUAAUACAGAGGCGGCAAGCGUUGUUCGGAAUUAUUGGGCGUAAAGAGCACGUAGGCGGCUAUGUAAGUCGGUUGUGAAAGCCUUCCGCUCAACGGAAGAACAGCAUCCGAUACUACAUGGCUUGAGUGCGGGAGGGGAGAGUGGAACUUCUGGUGGAGCGGUGAAAUGCGUAGAUAUCAGAAGGAACGCCGGCGGCGAGAGCGGCUCUCUGGCCCAUAACUGACGCUGAGUGUGCGAAAGCUAGGGGAGCAAACGGGAUUAGAUACCCCGGUAGUCCUAGCCGUAAACGAUGGGCACUAAGUAGAGGGGUUUU
This 478-nucleotide ribosomal RNA is filed under the name uncultured Planctomycetales bacterium. RNAcentral's name for it is "bacterial SSU rRNA". It matches the Rfam family "Bacterial small subunit ribosomal RNA", at positions 364 to 832 of the family's 1533-position model. Lineage: Bacteria; Pseudomonadati; Planctomycetota; Planctomycetia; Planctomycetales. The record is from RNAcentral.